Molecule: long non-coding RNA, 188 nt
Organism: Poecile atricapillus (Black-capped chickadee)
Lineage: Eukaryota; Metazoa; Chordata; Aves; Passeriformes; Paridae
Exons: 3
Source: RefSeq, a predicted model, not a curated record
UGGCCCCAAGGGCAUCUGGACACAGCCAUUCCUGGUGGGUUUGCUGCCGCCUCAACACCCAGACCUUCUCCAGGCAGCCCUGUGAAGACCUAGGAGAGGCAGCAGCCAUGAAGAUCCUGUUCCUGCUCUUGCCCCUGAUCCUCCUGUUGGUCCAGGGUGCUGCAGGCAGUGAAACUAGCUGCUGGAGA